GAGCAAGUCAUGGAGAGCAAGCCGGUAUGCAGCGUUCCUUCCUGGUCUCUGCUUCAUUUUCUGCCUCCAAGUUCCUGCCU
This 80-nucleotide microRNA precursor is filed under the name Microtus ochrogaster (prairie vole). RNAcentral describes it as "miRNA (ENSMOCG00000006112.1)". The record is from RNAcentral. Lineage: Eukaryota; Metazoa; Chordata; Mammalia; Rodentia; Cricetidae.